RNAcentral lists this small nuclear RNA (96 nucleotides) under Jaculus jaculus (lesser Egyptian jerboa). Lineage: Eukaryota; Metazoa; Chordata; Mammalia; Rodentia; Dipodidae. The record is from RNAcentral.
GUGCCACUUUGGCAGCACAUAUACUAAAAUUGGAAUGAUACAGGGAAGAUCAGCAUGGCCCAUGACACCCAAAUUCGUGAGGUGUUCCAUAUGUUA